This 455-nucleotide ribosomal RNA is filed under the name uncultured organism. RNAcentral's name for it is "bacterial SSU rRNA". It matches the Rfam family "Bacterial small subunit ribosomal RNA", at positions 346 to 794 of the family's 1533-position model. The record is from RNAcentral.
GUGCAGCAGUCGAGAAUUUUUCUCAAUGGGGGAAACCCUGAAGGAGCGACGCCGCGUGGAGGAUGAAGGUCUUCGGGUUGUAAACUCCUGUCAUUUGAGAACAAGGUGCACAUGUUAACUGCAUGUGCAUUGAUAGUAUCAGAAGAGGAAGGGACGGCUAACUCUGUGCCAGCAGCCGCGGUAAUACAGAGGUCCCAAGCGUUGUUCGGAUUCAUUGGGCGUAAAGGGUGUGUAGGUGGCGCCGUAAGUCGGGUGUGAAAUCUCGGGGCUUAACUCCGAAACUGCAUUCGAUACUGCGGUGCUUGAGGACUGGAGAGGAGACUGGAAUUCAUGGUGUAGCAGUGAAAUGCGUAGAGAUCAUGAGGAAGACCAGUGGCGAAGGCGGGUCUCUGGACAGUUCCUGACACUGAGACACGAAGGCCAGGGGAGCAAACGGGAUUAGAUACCCCGGUAGU